UACGGAGGGGGCUAGCGUUGUUCGGAAUUACUGGGCGUAAAGCGCGCGUAGGCGGCUUUGUAAGUUAGAGGUGAAAGCCCGGAGCUCAACUCCGGAACUGCCUUUAAGACUGCAUCGCUUGAAUCCAGGAGAGGUGAGUGGAAUUCCGAGUGUAGAGGUGAAAUUCGUAGAUAUUCGGAAGAACACCGGAGGCGAAGGCGGCUUGCUGGGCUCGGACUGACGCUGAGGCGCGAAAGCGUGGGGAGCAAACAGG
This 253-nucleotide ribosomal RNA is filed under the name uncultured bacterium. RNAcentral describes it as "partial 16S ribosomal RNA". It matches the Rfam family "Bacterial small subunit ribosomal RNA", at positions 524 to 776 of the family's 1533-position model. The record is from RNAcentral.